AUGUUAGAGCAAAACAUCUCAAUACUGUGUUGGAAUGUGCGUGGCUUGAACUGCCCAGACCAUAGAGCCACUGUCCAUGAAACAAUUGCUACAUCCUCCUGCCAUCGUGUUUGCCUACAGGAAACAAAGCUUCAAGUCAUUGGCAGUUUCAUCGCUACAUACCUUGGUGGUUACCGAUUGUAGAAUUUUGCUUACAAACCUGCUGAUGGAACUAAAGGAGGCAUAUUACUCCUAUGGGAUGAUAAUGUGGUGAACAUUUCCAAUGUCCAGAUUGGAUCAUAUUUUCUUUCCGGAGAUGUUGCUGUCAAGAAUACCGAGAGAAAUAACUUCAAGCUUACCACUGUAUAUGGGCCAACUAGAAGCAUUCACAAAGAUGCCUUUUUUCUCGAGCUAUCCUCCCAGAAACCGUCGCCAGGGACAAAAUGGCUGGUUAAUGGGGACUUCAACCAGAUUUACCGGGCCAGAGAUAAAAACCGCUCCAAUGUUGAUCGUAGCAGAUUAGUUCGCUUCCGCAACACUAUUACAUCUUGUGAGCUCUAGGAGAUCCCCCUCCAGAACCGGAAGUUUACUUGAAGUAACGAGAGAAACAAUUCGACGCUUAGUAAACUUGACAACUUUUUUUGCAAUGAGGAUUGGGACAUUGAAUUCGCCAACCACAUACUUCAUGCCAUGUCCUUCUCGCUCUCAGAUCAUUGUCCGUUGUUGCUCGCUUGCACGGACGGCCCCAAGAAACCCAGGUCCUUUAGGUUUGAGAACCAUUGGACCAAGAUGCCAGGCUUCCAAAAGACGAUCAGCGAUGCUUGGAACGAAGAUUCGAGUCACCAAGAUCCCUACCAAAGACUUUUUCACAAGCUAAAAUCUACUAGUCGACGAUUACGUUCCUGGAGCAAAACACUCUUCGCUAAAUCUAAGGUCCAGCUGCAUAUGGCCCUUGAAGUUAUUCUCCGUCUCGAUAUGGACCAGGAACAAAGAGAAUUAUCCGAACAGGAAAUUGAUCUUCGGAAACGGCUCAAGAGGAAGAUUAUUGCCUGGGCUGUGCUUGAGAAGUCCAGAAAGAGGCAAAACUCAAGAAUCACCAAUUUGAAGGACAGCGAUGCU
RNAcentral lists this ribosomal RNA (1098 nucleotides) under Triticum aestivum (bread wheat). RNAcentral describes it as "partial small subunit ribosomal RNA". Lineage: Eukaryota; Viridiplantae; Streptophyta; Magnoliopsida; Poales; Poaceae. The record is from RNAcentral.